Corvus hawaiiensis (hawaiian crow) is the source of this 3216-nucleotide long non-coding RNA. RefSeq lists it as uncharacterized. Lineage: Eukaryota; Metazoa; Chordata; Aves; Passeriformes; Corvidae. The transcript has 2 exons. The record is from RefSeq and is a predicted model, not a curated record.
GCCUCUGAUGGCCCCGGGCCUGAGGGGCCCAGCGGGGCCAGAAGGGACUGUCGGGGCUUAAGCCCAGCUGGAAAUGAAGCACCACGCAGCCGCUCGCUCAACUCCCCUCUCUCCCCAGCACCCCGGUGAAACGGGGAGGAGCAGCACCAACUGAAUGUGACUCGCCCACGGGCUGAGUCUCUGUGAGUCCCUGCGACAGCCCCAUCGCUACAGGAGUCGAGGACUCAAAAAGGGAGACCUUACUUGUGUUCAUGACUGUCUUCCAGGGCAGCCAGCCCACCUGGCAUGCUGGUGUCUGACGCUGAAUGGCACAGGAGAAAGGUAAGAUCUGGGGACUACCUCCAGUGAAGCAGAGUUGUUUCUCCAGGCAGUGACAAAGGCUCAGACUGUCCUUCUUCCUCCCAGACUAUCCUCAGCGUUGUGAUCCUUUGUUUGUCCUGAGUCCCCUUGAGCCUUUCUUUCCCCAGAGCACUCCCCAGUCACAACAAUUAGAAGGUUUCUUUCUGUCCUGAGCUAAACAAUCUUCAACAUCCUGUCCCUUCACUUCAGCAGCUUUGUUCUGCAUCUGCAACAAAAUCUCCUUAGCUAAGCACAGUGGCAUUUUCCUCCUCCUUCUCAGCACUUCCUCCUUUGCUACCUUUGGCCCAUUUUACUCAAGAGGCACUGCACCAACAGAAGAGCAGGACCCCUUUACCCAACCCCUGUCCCUUUACCCAGCCCGUGGCACAAGCAUUGGUAUCGCUGCCCAGCCCCACAGGAAAGAGGUAGCUUGGCAAUGUGACCAUCCGGCUCCCACCUCCAGAAAGCUAUUGGACACAACAGGAAACCCAAGCUUUCUCUUGAUUGUGCAGGGAUUUAUUGCAGGCAUCUUGUGGGGUUCCAUCAAGGAAAUCACAGCUGUACUUGCCUUGUUUGAAUCUUGUCUGAUAAUCAGAAAAGUCCUGCAUUAGCCUGUCACUGGGUUUGAACAUGCUGCUUCUUACUGAGCACGUUUUCCUCUCCUUUCCUCCCAGCCAGUCAGUGCCCUGGACUAUAACUGUGAGCAUGCACAAUGCCCUGGGAUGGGCCUAUGAUGUUGGAGCUGGUGGAGAGAUAAGAGGCCAGCUUGGCCAUGGUGUUCCGGCUUUGUCUCACCACCAUGGCACACACAGCACAUCAGUGGCAGCAGCAGCAGCAGUUUUGGAGUUUUGUCUGGAGAACUUUGUGCUUGAAUAGCUCCAGGUUAUGAACCCUGGCUUGUGGGGCAAUGGCUGCCAGCCCCGCCCUGGGGCAAUGGGGUGCGGAUGAAGCGCUGCGAUGGGCGAAGCUCUUUCAUGCCUGCUGGCUGAGAGCAGUGCAUGGGUUCCUCAGUGUGUGGAGCAAGGACCAGCCGUGCCUGAUGAGUUAGUAUCCACCAUGGUUCAGGCACAGAGUAGUGAGAAUAAGUGGGAUGGCUCGACAGCGUCAUCCACAGUAAUUGGCGGCCCACGGCACGCGGCUGUGCGACCACGAGAUGCCGGGAUGUCUCUGCUCACGGUGUUUAUUCUUUAGGAUGUCCCUGUCACACACCCAGCUGCUGUGAUUAUUAAUUGCUAUUUAUACUUUUCUUUGAGUAUGCACUGUGCUUUUAAGACCAGCAGAGGUGGGAACCCUGCCCUCCUGGAGGCUCCCAGGCUAGGUGGGAGGGUGACAGCUGCAGUGUGUCUUGUGGGGAGUUCAAGCCACUGGGAUAAUGUACCAAGGGCCCUUCCUCCACCCUUUGCUCCCCAGACACAUCAACAAAGGGGGCAGGCUCCCACCACUGGUUUUUCAGCCCCCUUUCCUGCUUUUCCAUCCUGUUUCCUUCUGAGGCCCCACAGCCUCUGCCUGGCUCUACAAGCCUCUCUGGGGCCAAGUGGAUGGAAGGGAUCCCUUGUGCCAUGCUGGGAGUGAAUGUAGUGGAGGACACCAGGAACAGUGGGUGUACAGGUGUGUGCAGGGAGAAUUUCACUAAUGCCCCUGGAGCCUGCCCAUAAAGUCUGUAGCACAGCAGGUGCUCAAGUUGUUGUGCAUAUCCUCUGAUGGUAUGGGCAGGAUGGUUGGCCAGGCAGUGAUGAAUUCUCAGUGCAGGGGAGCUAUAUCUUGGUGUCCACAGCAGUGCCCCCUGCAUGCCAGCUCUGCUGCUGAACUCUGGCUGUCCAGUCUCCUUCCCAGUGACCCCAACAGUCCCUGGUUAGCUGGAGACAGAUGUCCAUCAUAUUGUGUGCCUAGAGAAGGAACAUGGAACCAUGCUACAGUCAGUGUUGCUGACAGAGAGUGGGUGCUGACAGAGAGUGGGUCAUGAGACUACCAAAGGGCCAUGUUGCUGGCAUGAACUUUCCCCUGGUACAUGGCCAAAUUUAGGCACAGCCAUCUCUUCCCCCUGAAGUGGGUUUUGGCUGUGCAGUUGCACUGGCCCACACAUCUCAGGUGCUUUUCUGGUGUGGUUUUCCAAGGCCAGCCUCAGUAGACAGCUCAGAUGAAGGAGGGGUGUGAAAGUAGGGCCAAGUUCCCAUGCUGCACUUUGAGGCUUGGGAGCUCGCUGUUCUGUUGUAAGCCUCAGAGCUGCAAGCUUUCCCAUCUCCCUGCUUGGUAAGAGGAGAAGUGGAGGCCAAGCAGGUGGAGGGGUUCUGUUGGUAUCCCAGACAAGAUCCUCACUGGAUUGUUGCUGUCCUUCUGCCCUGCUGGCACCAUUGUGAUGCCCAAGAAGUGCAGUGGGCAUGGCCUCUUCUGUCUGGCCAGGCAUCUGGGAAGAGCCAUCUCCCUGCUGAUGAUAGUCAGCAGCCACCUCCUCCUCCAGCACCAGAUCCAGAGGUGCAGUGGGCUUGUCUGAAGCAAGGGAAAAGUCCCUAGAGGGGUGUGUCUGUGCAGCUGUGGCCUAGCCAAGCACCACCAGAGCCUGGCAAAACCCUGCUGGCCCUGGCUGUACAGGUUUAAUAAUGUUGUUGUGUUCACUGAAUUCAUGGUCCAUUCCACAGAUCACACUAAUUUGUGAGGGUCUAAUGGCUCUUCCUGUUCCCAGCUGGUGAGGGAGGUGAGGAGCCUCCAUCAGCCUGGCAUGCUGGUGAGGGUAACCCUGUCACCCAGGCAGGAGGGUUCACGCUCUGACUCUGUUUUGUCCCUGCGGUACUGCCUGCUUCCUUUUUUUGUUCUCACACAUACUGCGGUAAAACGUGUGCACCCUGUGUUUGGAGCAAACAACAAAUCCACGUCAUGUGU